Molecule: long non-coding RNA, 9806 nt
Filed under: Oryza sativa (Asian cultivated rice)
Lineage: Eukaryota; Viridiplantae; Streptophyta; Magnoliopsida; Poales; Poaceae
Description: long non-coding RNA (OSAT_LNC001299)
Source: RNAcentral
UUUUAUUUCUAUUUAUAUCACCUCAAGUUUCACAUGUCACAUACGAUGAUACCUGAGCUUAUAUUUUCACUUCCGAACUACAAUAUUGUGAAAAUUCAGUACAAGACACCGCCAAGGGUGGUAAUGCUAUCGGGUGCACUAUAGGACCAAGGGUAGAUACCAUAUGUAGAUGGCAAGUUAAAAGCCAACAGUGCUUGAGCUUGAGCCAGAUUCCGGUCAAUGUAGAGAUUGCCAAACUGCUGGAGGUGUAGCUGGUGCGCUAUGGCCUGGACAACGUUAAUGUCCUGGUAGUGAGAUUGUUGCGCCACCAGCCUGAGCUGUUGCAAGACUUGGUUGUUUCUCAGUUGAAACGCAGCUGAUUGCAAGAAGGUGCUUGCCGCAAUGCUAUACUGCUGCCUUACGAACUCAUUAUAUGGGCUAAGCACCUGUUGCUGUAGCAGGAGAGGCGACUGCACCUGAUAUUGCCUAAUAUUUUGACCUAAAACAUCAAACUGCGCAGUGGCGCUGCAUGCAGCAAUAGCAAGGAGAGCAAAGACGAAAAUGAUCUUCAUUGUUGCAGGACACUAGUUCUUUUAAAUUUUUGUUGUAUAAUGCUUGAAUUGUGCGAGCGAUGAGGAGGGUUUUCAUGGAGUUUGUCCAUUUAUAGAUGCGCUGGCACGGAUUUUCUUUCGAUUCCUCAUCGGUUGCUUUAGUGUGUUAGUUUUGCUUGGAUGUCCUAUUAGGAUCUAGGUGAGUCAUGUCAUUUGGAUGUAUGUUCUAUUAGGUGCCCCAACAAAUCCGCUUUGGUGUCAUCAUGAAAGUAACUUUUCUGUCCAUCAUGAUGGUUAGCAGGCAAGAAAGAUAACGAUAUGACUCAUCGCUCACCUUAUGCGUUUGUUUCGUGAGGAUUGAAUCUUUUAUCUAGGGAUGUUUAUCACGUUUACUAAGCUAUUUUUUCACUACUGCAUGCCACGUUGAACUUUAAGGUCGCGCGGCCUCAUGCAUCUUGAAUUAUAAAAUUUCAACAGGAAUGACAAAAUUAUAGUACGGCAGGUGCAUUUUAUUGUUUCGUUGAUGCGGUAGUGAAGAUUUGAUUGUAGGAAGAAUUAAGUUAGCGCUGAAGCCUAAAAUCACCAUUCGAGAUAUUUACGAGAGAUCACCAAUAUAAUUUUGCUGAAACAUGAGGUUUAUUAUCCAUUUUGUUUGCAGUGAGACUAUCUACUUUCAAUGCUAGAAUAAACUACUCAAAGCAAAGAGUUUGUCAGCAAGAACAACCUCAAUGUCUUGGAGCAUUCCUUAAGUACGACAUCUCAUAAUUUUGAAUUUGGAAGAAGGGUGCAUUUUCUUUAUAGUCACUCUACAGUGACAGAAUAAACCAAAGAACAUCACAAAUCCGUCUUUCCGGUUUUCACCCCCAUUGUUGGCGCUGCAUGUUUUGCUUCUGUACAGAAAUAAUUAUGCCUACGUUGUUGUUCCAUGAUGCAAAUUGAGCGAGAGCUCAACUCAAGAAUUUAUUAUACACUUCCUUUUGUCAAGAAUGUUGGACAACUAGAUGAUUUUCAAUUGAAAUUAAUAUCUAUAUAUGAAACUAGUUAAUGUACCAAAGUUUAAAAUUUUGAAAACCCGUCUUGAUGUCGCUUGACACAACAUAGUUGCAUUAAGUUACGUGUUUGCAUGACAUUGGCUUGUCAUAUUCACAAUGAUGUUGCAUAUGCGGCCUUUGAUAUACGCUUGUUUUAGUAGUGGAUGGAGAAUCAAAGUUGAUUGCUGCAUCUUUACGUGGUCUGUAUGGUAUACGAUUUUGUUGUGGUGGAUUUAGUAUUUGUCAUAUGUUUUUUGUGUUUGUUCUUAUUGGAAUAAAAUGAUGGACAUCCUUUAUACACUCCAUUUAUAUCUAAAAUACGAAGUAGCUUCGAAUCAAAUUUAAGCGCACAGAAAAAUUGUGGAGUACCAAUCAUGGUAAUUAGCUACGACAAUGCACUAGGAUAUAUCCUUAUAGAGGCAAGCUAUUUAAAUAUGAAAGAUAAUUUUAUUUCUAUUUAUAUCACCUUAAGUUUCACAUGUCACAUACGAUGAUACCUGAGCUUAUAUUUUCACUUCCGAACUACAAUAUUGUGAAAAUUCAGUACAAGACACCGCCAAGGGUGGUAAUACUACCCGGUGCACUAUAGUACCUAGGGUAGAUACCAUAUGUAGAUGGCAAGUUAAAAGCCAACAGUGCUUGCGCUUGAGCCAGAUUCCGGUCAAUGUAGAGAUCGCCAAACUGCUGGAGGUGUAGCUGCUGCGCUAUGGCCUGGACAACGUUAAUGUCCUGGUAGUGAGAUUGUUGCGCCACCAGCCUGAGCUGUUGCAAGACUUGGUUGUUUCUCAGUUGAAACACAGCUGAUUGCAAGAAGGGGCUUGCCGCAAUGCUAUACUGCUGCCUUACGAACUCAUUAUAUAGGCUAAGCACCUGUUGCUGUAGCAGGAGAGGCGACUGCACCUGAUAUUGCCUAAUAUUUUGACCUAAAACAUCAAACUGCGCUGUGGCGCUGCAUGCAGCAAUAGCAAGGAGAGCAAAGACGAAAAUGAUCUUCAUUGUUGCAGGACACUAGUUCUUUUAAAUUUUUGUUGUAUAAUGCUUGAAUUGUGCGAGCGAUGAGGAGGGUUUUCAUGGAGUUUGUCCAUUUAUAGAUGCGCUGGCACGGAUUUUCUUUCGAUUCCUCAUCGGUUGCUUUAGUGUGUUAGUUUUGCUUGGAUGUCCUAUUAGGAUCUAAGUGAGUCAUGUCAUUUGGUUGUAUGUUCUAUUAGGUGCCCCAACAAAUCCGCUUUGGUGUCAUCAUGAAAGUAACUUUUCUGUCCAUCAUGAUGGUUAGCAGGCAAGAAAGAUAACGAUAUGACUCAUCGCUCACCUUAUGCGUUUGUUUCGUGAGGAUUGAAUCUGUUAUCUAGGUAUGUUUAUCAUGUUUACCAAGCUAUUAUUUCACUACUGCAUGCCACGUUGAACUUUAAGGUCGUGCGGCCUCAUGCAUCUUGAAUUAUAAAAUUUCAACAGGAAUGACAAAAUUAUAGUACGGCAGGUGCAUUGUAUUGUUUCUUUGAUGUGGUAAUGAAGAUUUGAUUGUAGGAAGAAUUAAGUUAGCACUGAAGUCUAAUAUCACCAUUCGAGAUAUUUACGAGAGAUCACCAUUAUAAUUUUGCUGAAACAUGAGGUUUAUUAUCCAUUUUGUUUACAGUGAGACUAUCUACUUUCAAUGCUAGAAUAAACUACUCAAAGCAACGAGUUUGUCAGCAAGAACAACCUCAAUGUCUUGGAGCAUUCCUUAAGUACGACAUCACAUAAUUUUGAAUUUGGAAGAAGGGUGUAUUUUCUUUAUAGUCACUCUACAGUGACAGAAUAAACCAAAAGAACAUCACAAAUCUGUCUUUUCGGUUUUCACCCCCAUUGUUGCCGCUGCAUGUUUUGCUUCUGUACAGAAAUAAUUAUGCCUACGUUGUUGUUCCAUGAUGCAAAUUGAGCGAGAGCUCAACUCAAGAAUUUAUUAUACACUUCCUUUUGUCAAGAAUGAUGGACAACUAGAUGAUUUUCAAUUCAAAUUAAUAUCUAUAUAUGAAACUUGUUAAUGUACCAAUGUUUAAAAUUUUGAAAACCCGUUUUGAUGUCGCUUGAAACAACAUAGUUGCAUGAAGUGAUGUGUUUGCAUGACAUUGGCUUGUCAUAUUCACAAUGAUGCUGCAUAUGCGGCCUUUGAUAUACGCUUGUUUUAGUAGUGGGACUAAAUUCAAUGGGACUAAAUUCUUUUAUUCCCUUCUAUAUUAAAUAAUCAAGAUGAGGCAGCAGUGCAAAAUUGAGCCGAAUUUUAGGAAAAUAGGGUUCACCAAGUCGAGUUCACACCGCGUUUCUCUUGCGCAAACUCCACUUGCUGGGGGGCAUUUGUUUGACGGUAUUUUGUGAUCUUAUAAAUCCAAGGAUUAUUUGUAUUAUCAAGACAAGCAAACAAAAGAGCAGCUAUGAUCGUCGCAUUCAUUAAUAUGUGACUCUGUAUAUAGCUUGCUCAAUUGCAUGGGAUGCAUGAGCCAUGCACGUACUGGCAUAUGUAUGUCCUCCUAUAUGGCUAUACAUGGGUACAUGUGUUCAGCCAUAUAUACAUGCUUAGCUAAUCUAUACGUAAGCAUGCAUGCACAAGGAGACCUAAGUGACAUGUGAGCAGCUCAUAAACGAGCGCUCGUGACUAUAUAUGUAUUCACCGUACGUGCAUGUAUACGUACAGAAAUACCGGGUGGUUUCUAUGAGUUAAGAAGCAACAUCUAGCUACACGGUUGAAAUGUGAAGCUGCACGUGGGCCGGCAGCCCAUAGACACAUUGCGUUUUCAUCGUAUAUAUGCGAUUGUAUCAGAAUACAUGCGUACGCGGGAUUUCUCAACUGCAAGCUACUGAUGUGCGCGGCUAGCGCCGGAUAAACCCAACCAACAAACUUCGUCUUAUCCAGGUGAUUCGAAUUAGCGUGAUCUGCAGCAACGUCGCCCGGAGGUAUCGGAACAAACACGUGCAGCCACGUCGGCGCCGGAGUAUGCGCGCCCGUCCGUUAGGUUUUCCCAGCGCUUAUAAAAGCCAACGAGAGCUAACCAGCCAGGGCAUGGAGAAUCAUUCAUAAAACACACAUCCAUCCAUCCACACAUAUGUAGAACAAGAACACAAAGCAGAAGGGCACGCCAACGCGUGCGCUGACGGCCGGCGGCAGCCAACAGGCGCUCUGCCAAGAGACGGCGCCAGGCGAUCGACAUUCGUCCAGCCAUCCCUCUGCCCGGUGAGAAGACACGGCGCGCCAGCCGGCGGCUGUGGGCAGAAUGAGGAGGAGAGAAGCAGUACACGGACAUGGUCUCAUCUACACCAGCACACCGGCGGCGAGUACAGCUCCGUCCUUUUCUUUGUUUCUCUUUCGUUUUGCAGAUUGAUCAUGGAGGAGGAACAUGGAUGUAGAACCACAAGAAGAGAUCGAUCCAUCCACUCAUACAUAGAUCACAUGAGGGAACACACAGAGGCCUCGGCGGAAGGGUACGCCGGCGAGGGUACAGGCAGCCACCCAAUAGACGGCGCUAGGCGAUCGACAUCCAUGCAUCGAGAUCCAUCCGACUCCCAUCAAGAUUCAUCCACAGCUACUUCGCCGGAGCAGGAGAGCACGCCGCCGGUAGCGCUCGGCGCCGGUGUCCAGCAGAAGGACGUUGGAGGAAGGAGAGCAACCUGAACUUGGCCAAUCAACAAGCACGAGAAUUAGAUCAAUGGCUGCCCAAGGUAAAGGCUAACCAAAUAUCGUUCCUUUCCUGUUUUAUCUGCAGCACACAUGCAUGCAUGAGGAUAUUUCUACACACGGCGGGUCAGUGCGUGGUGCAUCGUCGUCGCUAGAGUUGUUGAGCCGACCCAUCUAUGGGCGCCACCUAUAAGCUUCGUCACGUCGGAGUUGAUGACAUGCCGUUCGUCCGCGAUACCUUCGCCUUCAUCACACGGCAGUCGCAGACGCCGUCGAGCCACCCACGUCCACAACUAGGCUGCUGCCUCACCAGAAAUGCUGUUUCGGGCACUAUUCACGCCAUCCCGCGAAGAUCGCGAGAGCUGCCAUGGGCGUUUGCCAAGGCGCUGCCGGCCGAGCGGUGGUCAUCCUCGCCAACUGAUCACCACCUGCCGAAGAUGGUCAUCCCCACGUCGCACUGAUGGAGCGUUGGGAAUAGUCGGAGCAGCCGCGGGCAUCAUCAAGCCAUCCCUAAUCCGCCAGGAGGUCUUGUCAGAUCCAAGGCGAAUGCCAUCAUGCUGCCCGCAUCCAUGAAUGUCGCCGAGUCGCCGAGGCGCUGCCAAGCAGUGCUUGUACCCGCCAAUCGAUCAUCUAUCGGGGAAAGCCGUCGUCCUCUCGCCGCCCUGCCGGAGCGCGCCGAAGAUUGCCGGAGCCACCGCCGAUUGCCAUGAUUUCUCCUGCUUCUAUGUCGGAGGUCAAGCAUCAUGCAUGGCGUCGACAACUAUGGCUGCAGCAACUGAGAGUGAGGGCGACAGCGACAGGAUGACGACGAACCGAUGCUGUUGAACGCCAUGGCAACAAGCUAGCAAAUGCACGCUAAUUAAGCUAAUUAUUGUGGCAACGUGGCCGACCAACUGGAGGGUGACACAUCAUCACCAUGCUUCAGUGCUAUGCACAAGAAGAAGUCGUCAACGCGAUGGCUAAACAAAUCCUGUUGAUUUCAAGCUUUCUCAAUUAGAUACCGAGCUGUGAUUAAAUCCGGCUGCCGUCUAUAUCGUCCAACUCGUCGGCGACACUCUAACGCUCGCCAUCCCUGCUCAAGCUACCGGUGAUGCCGUCUACCGGAUGCCGCCACGUCGUCGAGAUACACCAACGCCCCCAUCUCGCCAACUGCGGCUUCUCUUCCGUAAUGUGCGCCGUACCCUCGCCGGCGAUCGUCGGAGCAGCCACUAGUGUCGCCCGAGCUGUUUCUGAUCCAGGAGAUGGUGGCAGUCGCCGGGAUGCUCCUCGAGGAGCCGUCGACACAUGCCACCCUGCUGGGACACACUGAAGGUCCCCAGAGCAGCCGCGGACACCGUCGAGGUGCUCGUACACCGUCGUCAAGUCCAGCUGUGAUUCUUUCACUUCAUCACGGCGGAGUUGUCAUGUCGACUGAUCUGUUGGCGCUGAUCGCAAGCCUCCGUCAAGAUCGAUGCCACUCGUCCUCAGGACUGAUGCAAUCUGUUCGAGCUGCGGUGAUGAUUCUACUCGUUGCGAUCUCGCCGAGACGUUAAACGUCGUCGCCUUUUGCCGACCGCUGCCUCGCAACACCGUCAAUAUCUACCCACCCUCGCCACCGUUGCAAUCUUGGUGCCCACAAGCCGUCGUCAAGUCUGGCUGUGCUUCCUUCUCUUCAUCAGGCCGAGGUCGUCGUGCUGUCUGUCCACGAUGCCUUCUCUUUGUCACGUCGGAGCGUCAAAGUUCAGUGCCCCUACAUCAUCGUUGAGCCGUUCGUGAUGCCGUCUGGCCAUCCCUUCGUCACGUCGGAGCGCCACUGCUUGGUUCCCGUGCAUCGUCAUCAAGCUGAGGUCGUCGUUUCGUCCAUCCACAAUGUCUUUCUCUCCGCCGCGCCAAGGCUACGAGAUGCCAUCCGGCCGCGAUGCCCUUCACCUCGUCAAGUUGGAGUCGUCGUUCUGUCAUCACGCCAAGAUGAGAUACCGCCUGUCCGUGAUGCUCUCCCUCUUCGUGGAGAUUAAUGGUGUCGCACAUCCGCGUAUUGGAGCAUCGCUCAUCUACGUCAACCUGAAGAAAGAAUGGUGUCAUCUGUGAUGCCAGGAAACCAUUCGUGCUGAAUCUACUCCAACAAAUGCCCUUAGCCGUUCCGCCGACGAGGCAUUUACUUCUUCCAAGGUCGCUGUCAUUACCGGCGCCCUCAUAGAGCCCCUUUUACGGGCUCGUUAUCAUAUCAACUGGAUCAAUAGUAGAUCCAUCAUCUGAAGGAGGUGCUAAGCCAUGUUUGUCCGGCUGUCGUCUACACUGAUUUCUUCAUCAUCUUCAUUACAAGUCCCUGUUGUAUAAAGGGCAUGACAAGUUGGGAGGUGCCUAACCAUGUGUAAUUCGGCUGUCGUCUACACCAACUAUCUUCGUCAACUCUUCAUUACUUUGAUCUCAUCUAGCCAGAAGGUGCCCAACCAUGUAUAUUCGGCUAUUGUGUACACCAACUGACUUCACCAGCUCCUCUUCCCUUUAACACCAUUCUGAUGCCGUUGCUAUGACUUCUCUACCGUCCAAGCUACGCGAGUUCCAUGCAUGCUGAAGAUCACUAUAUCUACACCACCACGUCACUCAAGACAGAUGAGGCGGAGCGACGAGGGCAGGCGGAGUAUAAAUAAAGGCUAUGUCUCCAACACCGGCGCACGGACCGACGAGGCCGUGGAUCGCUGUCGGCGCCCACACACACAUCCACCAUCUUCACCAACAUUCAUCAUGCAUGGAGAACGUAAAGCGAAGACGACGAGACGACCACAAGCAGCUUAAUCGGAGGUUCUCCUGUAGGCCUAUACCUACAGGUAAUUAACUGGGAGCUUCUUGAGGCCCUAGGAACCAGAAGACCACAUCGCUGAUGUCAGAUCUGUCCAACGACAGGCAAAGGCACGCACAUUUUAUAUUAUACAUAGAAACUGUAUCUUGUUAAUUCAAUUAAUAAAGAUCACGUUUUUGUGUCUCUUUUGUGUUUGAUUUACAUUUUGUAUCUAGGUACACUGGCACGCCCGCACUAAUUUUCUUUCUAAACAUAGAGGGAUAUAUAUUCGUAUUUUUUCUAUCCUAAACAAUCACCAUUCGAGAUAUUUACGAGAGAUCACCAUUAUAAUUUUGCUGAAACAUGAGGUUUAUUAUCCAUUUGGUUUACAGUGAGACUAUCUACUUUCAAUGCUAGAAUAAACUACUCAAAGCAACGAGUUUGUCAACAAGAACAACCUCAAUGUCUUGGAGCAUUCCUUAAGUACGACAUCUCAUAAUUUUUAAUUUGGAAGAAGCGUGCAUUUUCUUUAUAGUCACUCUACAGUGACUGAAUAAACUAAAGAACAUCACAAAUCCGUCUUUCCUAUUUUUACCCCUAUUGUUGCCGCUGCAUGUUUUGCUUCUGUACAGAAAUAAUUAUGCCUACGUUGUUGUUCCAUGAUGCAAAUUGAGCGAGAGCUCAACUCAAGAAUUUAUUAUACACUUCCUUUUGUCAAGAAUGAUGGACAACUAGAUGAUUUUCAAUUGAAAUUAAUAUCUAUAUAUGAAACUAGUUAAUGUACCAAAGUUUAAAAUUUUGAAAACCCGUCUUGAUGUCGCUUGACACAACAUAGUUGCAUGAAGUUACGUGUUUGCAUGACAUUGGCUUGUCAUAUUCACAAUGAUGCUGCAUAUGCGGCCUUUGAUAUACGCUUGUUUUAGUAGUGGAUGGAGAAUCAAAGUUGAUUGCUGCAUCUUUACGUGGUCUGUAUGGUAUACGAUUUUGUUGUGGUGGAUUUAGUAUUUGUCAUAUGUUUUUUGUGUUUGUUCUUAUUGGAAUAAAAUGAUGGACAUCCUUUAUACACUCCAUUUAUAUCUAAAAUACAAAGUAGCUUCGAAUCAAAUUUAAGCGCACAGAAAAAUUGUGGAGUACCAAUCAUGGUAAUUAGCUACGACAAUGCACUAGGAUAUAUCCUUAUAGAGGCAAGCUAUUUAAAUAUGAAAGAUAAUUUUAUUUCUAUUUAUAUCACCUUAAGUUUCACAUGUCACAUACGAUGAUACCUGAGCUUAUAUUUUCACUUCCGAACUACAAUAUUGUGAAAAUUCAGUACAAGACACCGCCAAGGGUGGUAAUGCUACCGGGUGCACUAUAGUACCUAGGGUAGAUACCAUAUGUAGAUGGCAAGUUAAAAGCCAACAGUGCUUGAGCUUGAGCCAGAUUCCGGUCAAUGUAGAGAUCGCCAAACUGCUGUAGGUGUAGCUGCUGCGCUAUGGCCUGGACAACGUUAAUGUCCUGGUAGUGAGAUUGUUGCGCCACCAGCCUGAGCUGUUGCAAGACUUGGUUGUUUCUCACUUGAAACACAGCUGAUUGCAAGAAGGGGCUUGCCGCAAUGCUAUACUGCUGCCUUACGAACUCAUUAUAUAGGCUAAGCACCUGUUGCUGUAGCAGGAGAGGCGACUGCACCUGAUAUUGCCUAAUAUUUUGACCUAAAACAUCAAACUGCGCAGUGGCGCUGCAUGCAGCAAUAGCAAGGAGAGCAAAGACGAAAAUGAUCUUCAUUGUUGCAGGACACUAGUUCUUUUAAAUUUUUGUUGUAUAAUGCUUGAAUUGUGCGAGCGAUAAGGAGGGUUUUCAUGGAG